RNAcentral lists this long non-coding RNA (251 nucleotides) under Gossypium raimondii (Peruvian cotton). RNAcentral describes it as "long non-coding RNA (GRAI_LNC008824)". The record is from RNAcentral. Lineage: Eukaryota; Viridiplantae; Streptophyta; Magnoliopsida; Malvales; Malvaceae.
AAGUUUCAUGGUAAUGAAUUAAAUGUUUUUGCAAAUUACAAUGAUGGCAAGUAUGAGAGGAAAGAUGUUUAUGAUGUGGGAGAAGAAACAUCCUCUUUUCUGAAAGAGGAUUCGGAUGAUAUUGAUGCACUGCUCAGCUCGGAAGAGGAAGAACAAGUUGAGUACGAUGAGGAAGAGGUUAGCACAGCCCGGACCUUUGGAAAUUAUGAAUUCGACACUGCUGAUUCUCGCUCUGCUCAUGGCUCGAAACC